This 530-nucleotide ribosomal RNA is filed under the name uncultured delta proteobacterium. RNAcentral's name for it is "bacterial SSU rRNA". It matches the Rfam family "Bacterial small subunit ribosomal RNA", at positions 38 to 546 of the family's 1533-position model. Lineage: Bacteria; Deltaproteobacteria. The record is from RNAcentral.
GGCGGCGUGCUUAACACAUGCAAGUCGAACGUGAUUCAGAGCUUGCUCUGAUGAAAGUGGCGCACGGGUGAGUAACGCGUGGAUAACCUGCCCUGGUAUCUGGGAUAACACACCGAAAGGGGUGCUAAUACCGGAUAAGCCCACGAACUCUUCGGAGAUUGAGGGAAAAGGUGGCCUCUAUUUAUAAGCUACCGUAUCAGGAUGGGUCCGCGUACCAUUAGCUAGUUGGUGGGGUAAUGGCCCACCAAGGCGACGAUGGUUAGCUGGUCUGAGAGGAUGAUCAGCCACACUGGAACUGAGACACGGUCCAGACUCCUACGGGAGGCAGCAGUGGGGAAUUUUGCGCAAUGGGGGAAACCCUGACGCAGCAACGCCGCGUGAGUGAUGAAGGCUUUCGGGUCGUAAAGCUCUGUCAGAGGGGAAGAAAUGAAUUGAGCUAAUACCUCGAUUUCUUGACGGUACCCUCAAAGGAAGCACCGGCUAACUCCGUGCCAGCAGCCGCGGUAAUACGGANGGUGCAAGCGUUGUUC